RNAcentral lists this long non-coding RNA (2389 nucleotides) under Mytilus galloprovincialis (Mediterranean mussel). The record is from RNAcentral. Lineage: Eukaryota; Metazoa; Mollusca; Bivalvia; Mytilida; Mytilidae.
CCUGUUGUGAGUUCCGCUGAUUUUUCAUUCACUUUAAAACUUUGCAUGUUUUCCAUUACGUUUUCAUCCUUUUCGUUUGCCAAAUCAUCAUCGUUUACAUCAUCUGGAUUGUCGUACCCAAAGAAACUGUCAAAUGAUGCACUGCUAACAAUAAACGAUUCCUCAUCAUAUGCAUUUUGAUCUUUUUUCAAAUACACACCAUCAGAGGGCAGAGUAUUGGUGUCACAGUAUAGGUUCACAGCUUUCGAAUUAUCAAUAGGAUGCGUUUGUUGUAAGCUUGGCCUUGUCCCUGGAAAAUUAAAGACACAAUGUAAAAUGAGCCAAUUUAACUUGUAUGCUGGCCUACUGAUGUGGUUUGUUGCGUGCACUGUUACAAUGAGAUGACGGCUUCUGAAUGAGAUAGUGUUUGUCAUUGCAAAGGUAGCAUAUGUCAAUUUUAAAGACUGAAAAGCCAAACAGUUGUCUUUUCUAAAGACUUUUAAAAAUUAUGUUUUAAAUUUCAUGUUCAUUGAUAUUUGAUACGAUAUAUACAAUAACGUUAACACGAAUUGUUAAAAACUAUAACAAAGUACAACCGCCAAAAAAAUCCGUCGACUUUUUUUUGCAAUGCAAUGGCUGGUGGCUGUCUCAUAGUUUCUAAAAUAAAAAUAGCGAAAUAGGGGUAUGAUUUUCACAGCUAUCCACAUAUAGUCCAAAUUAAGAUUGCUAUACAUUUUUUAUAAACAACUAAGAAUCCGACUUAUUCUUUAUUUAAAUGUAUGAAUUACUUGAUUGUUCUAGAAUUACAUAACGCAGCAUUGACAGAAAUCACCACAUACUAGAAAAAUUUUAUAUAGUGUAAAAUGUAAACCCACCUGUUGUGAGUUCCGCUGAUUUUUCAUUUACUUUAAAACUUUGCAGGUUUUCCAUUACGUUUUCAUCCUUUUCGUUUGGCAAAUCAGUGUCUUCACCAUCUGGAUUGUCGUACCCAAAGAAACUGUCAAAUGAUGCACUGCUAACAGGAAGCGAUUCUUCAUCAUUUGUAUUUUGAUCUUUUUCCAAAUACACACCAUGAGAGGGCAGAUCAUCUUUGUUAAAGCAUUGGUGCGCAGCUUUCGAAUUGUCAAUAAAAUCUUUCUGUUGUAAUCUUUGUCUUGUUCCUGGAAAAUAAAAAUAAAACACAAUAUGUAGAAUGGUGUCAAUUUACCUAGUAUGUUGGUCUACUGAUGUAGUUGGUUGCGUGCACCGUUACAUUGGGAUUAUUGCUUUUAAUGAAGCAGUCUUUGCCAUUUCAAUGGAGGCAUAUUUAGAUUUCAAAGACUGAUUAAAUGUAAGGUUCAAAUGACUAUGGCUAAAACACAUAGAAUUAUUCAAAAUUUCUCAUACCUAAUAUACUACAUUUAUUUCUUGUUUUAGCCUCUCCAGCCUCAAUUAAAUCAAUUAUUGAAUGGGCAUCAUCUGUUGCUCCACUAUCGUAUUUUAUAAGGCUUUCGACCUUGACAUCUUUCGUCAUUUUGGUUCCAUUUGAUUUGCUUUCUGUAUACGUUUCUUGAUUAUGAAUUGGUUCUUGUUUUUCGUCACAAACAUCUUUCUGUUCAACAGCUAGUUGAAAUCCAGUUACUAUGUGUAUUUCGGAAUCCCCUCCAUAAGGUUCUUCGCUGAAAUCCGAUUCAUACGGAGGGUAUUCCGAAUCAACUGUUUCUGCAACGGAGCUUUCUGAUUCCUCCUCACAAGUGUCCUUUCUUUUUGAAUCUACAUCAUUGAUAUAUUCAUUUGUUGUCGUUUCUUUGUUUUCCGUAUCGUAUCGUAAGUCGUUAUCACAUAUAGGUCCAAUCUGAAAUAAGCCCUUGCUUUCCUUCAGUGCUUUCUUCCGUUUUAAGUAUGCAUCAACGGCUAGGACCCAAUAAGCUGUGUUAAGUGAGCGUCUAUCUCUGUCUGCUUCUUCUCUUGCAGUCAUUUCAUCUGUGUCAGAAGAAGAUACUUCGUUUGCAAUUGCCAAAAAUGUUUGAUUCCUAAGUUCACCGUUUACUGCUUUCUGACAUUUUGCAAUUUCAAGUUCCAUGUUGUCUUUAUCGCAAUCGUCACUUUUGUUUAAUUCAUCCGGCUUAUAUCUUUCAUCGUUAUUAAGCCAAUAUUCAAAGUCAUCAUAGGUUUCGCAUGAACUUGAUUCUGAUACUGACCCAUGACUAUCAAGCACAUCAGACUGGUCAGAAAAUAUUUCCAUGCUCCUCUCGAUAUAUAUGUUUUCUGUAGUCUCAGCCAAUUGUAAGUCUUGUUUCCAUUUCUCAUUCAGUCUUCCUAAAAUGGUACGUUUAUAAGCCUGUUCUUUUUCAUCUAUUUCAUUAGUAAUAUAAACUUUCACUUGAGCUGUACGUUCUGAACCAGGAUUAGAAAUAUCACAUUUCUUAUU